CUAUAGGUUACAAAUUAUUUCUUGAUCACAAAUUAAUGAAUUGUGAGUUAUAAUCACUUUUUUUAGGUCAUAUUUUAUUUAUUGGUUAAAAAUUAAUCAAUUUAUUUGUCACAGUAAACCAAAAAAUUAGUCACAAACACCCACAUCCCAUCCCUACCCAUGACCACCGCCAUGAUCACCAGCACUAUCACAAACCAUAGAAAAUCAGCACCACACCCCUAGCAACAUAAAACCACCAAUGACUGCUUCAUUUUACACAGUUAUUACAUUUCUUUUAUAAUUUUUUAUCAAUCCACCCAAUUGCUUCAUUUCACUUACCUCCCAUGGCUGCUUGAUGAUAGUUGCAGUUGGCCAAGCAACAAUAUACGCAACCGUUAGCCACAGUCCUAGCAUUGUCGUUGUGCACGAAGCAGAGACGAUGCACUCCCAUAGUCGCUAAUUCAUGUGCAACAGCGAUCUGUUCCUCAUUAUUGCUACGUCAUGUACGGCUGUGGCUAGCAGCUGCUACAGGUUUGGGAAUAUUCAUGGUGGUGAUGGCGUCAGUAGAUGUGACGGCUACAACGGGAGGUUUGGGAUUUUUUUCGUGGUUGUGGUGUGGUAGAGAUGAUAAGGUGGUUGAGUGUGGUGCUGGCAAGGUGGUGCCGAUGGUAUGGUGAUGGCGGUGCUUUCCGAUGACAGUUAGAAAGAGGAAAGAAGGUGAGAUCGAGAGAGAAAAGAGAAAAUGGAGAGGAUGAAAAUGAUUAGGUUUUGGUGUGG
Molecule: long non-coding RNA, 756 nt
Filed under: Olea europaea subsp. europaea
Lineage: Eukaryota; Viridiplantae; Streptophyta; Magnoliopsida; Lamiales; Oleaceae
Source: RNAcentral